UACUUGGACUUGAUAGUUCUUUCUGGGUCAGCCUCUGCCUUCUAGCUUCUAAUGCUGUGGAGCCCUAAGCACUUGAAACUGACCAUUGGUUCAAAUCUCCCAGCAGGUCACUGAAAUUGGACUCGCUGCCCUAGACUUGGCAUCUUCUCUAACUAAGCCUCUGAGGUCCCAGCAUGUCUAGAGGAUGAGCACACUCAAGACCCUGGGUGAAGAUAAGAGGAAAAGGGAUCUCAAACUCCUGAGUUUGUAUUGCUGUGUGCUGGGUUCCCAGAGCUGACUCGAGGGAACCCCAUCUUGAAACAGGGUCUGUUGCUGCCUCAGAUCCCUUUUCUGAUGCCAUUCUUCCGGAACAUUUGAAGGAAGCAGAGCUGAAGGAAAUGAGGACUUGUAGAAUCUGGUUCUCUUCUGCAUCUCAAGACAGUGAUCAGAUGUAUUGUUGGCUAAUUGCUCUCAGCCAUUAGCUGGAAGAGAUACAUGGGGAGAAGGCUUUGGAGGUGCACAGAGAACCAG
Molecule: long non-coding RNA, 510 nt
Filed under: Zalophus californianus (California sea lion)
Lineage: Eukaryota; Metazoa; Chordata; Mammalia; Carnivora; Otariidae
Description: lncRNA (ENSZCAG00015020746.1)
Source: RNAcentral